RNAcentral lists this ribosomal RNA (258 nucleotides) under uncultured Oscillospiraceae bacterium. Its description in RNAcentral is "partial 16S ribosomal RNA". It matches the Rfam family "Bacterial small subunit ribosomal RNA", at positions 83 to 339 of the family's 1533-position model. The record is from RNAcentral. Lineage: Bacteria; Bacillati; Bacillota; Clostridia; Eubacteriales; Oscillospiraceae.
AUGUAGAGGAAAGUGGCGGACUGGUGAGUAACACGUGAGCAACCUGCCUAUCAGAGGGGAAUAACAGUGAGAAAUCAUUGCUAAUACCGCAUAUGCCAUAAAUAUCACAUGAUAAAAGUGGGAAAGGAGUAAUCCGCUGAUAGAUGGGCUCGCGUCUGAUUAGAUAGUUGGUGGGGUAACGGCCUACCAAGUCGACGAUCGGUAGCCGACCUGAGAGGGUGAUCGGCCACAUUGGGACUGAGACACGGCCCAAACUCC